This 493-nucleotide long non-coding RNA is filed under the name Homo sapiens (human). RNAcentral describes it as "HSALNT0373535". Lineage: Eukaryota; Metazoa; Chordata; Mammalia; Primates; Hominidae. The record is from RNAcentral.
UGUGAAGAGGACAGAGAAUAACUUUAUUGAGCAAUGAAACAGCUUUCAGCAGAGAGGCAUGUGGGGUUGGUCUGCCUACCGGAAGGCAGGAAUGCCCUCUUUGUUGCUGGGUGGGGGCCUUUGGACUCAGAAUGGAGAGUGUGUGUUGAUUUAUUUUUGAGUACGCCAAAAAGGUUACAGUGAAGACAACUCUUAAAACGUGGGCACAGCAGUGUAGAAAGUCAAUUAGGAAAGGGUAGGUAUAUGAGAAAUAGGGGAAGGCUGGGGACUAAUCAGAGAAAACAUGUCAAAUGGAGAAACAGAUUCUCAAUCCAGUCUAAGGAUUUAACUUGUAGCUUGGCCUUUCAGGCUUUAAACUGUCCUUGGCUUGGAGGUGGAGUUUCACUGGGGACCCUUCCCCAUCCGCCUAAGCAUUUGGCUGCCUCCUGUCGCUCUCACGUUUUCAAAUGAGAUAAAAGCUUUCAUGUUCUUAAGUUGAUGGAAAUGAUUCUGU